This 278-nucleotide ribosomal RNA is filed under the name uncultured Oscillospiraceae bacterium. RNAcentral's name for it is "partial 16S ribosomal RNA". It matches the Rfam family "Bacterial small subunit ribosomal RNA", at positions 511 to 788 of the family's 1533-position model. The record is from RNAcentral. Lineage: Bacteria; Bacillati; Bacillota; Clostridia; Eubacteriales; Oscillospiraceae.
GCAGCCGCGGUAAUACGUAGGUGGCGAGCGUUAUCCGGAUUUACUGGGUGUAAAGGGUGUGUAGGCGGGAUUGCAAGUCAGAUGUGAAAACUAUGGGCUCAACUCAUAGCCUGCAUUUGAAACUGUGAUUCUUGAGGGUCGGAGAGGUAACUGGAAUUCCUGGUGUAGCGGUGAAAUGCGUAGAUAUCAGGAGGAACACCGGUGGCGAAGGCGGGUUACUGGACGAUUACUGACGCUGAGACACGAAAGCGUGGGGAGCAAACAGGAUUAGAUACCCC